UACACGUGAGUACCUGCCCCUGACUCUGGAAUAACCGUGGGAAACGACGGCUAAUACCGGAUAUGAGACGUCCACGCAUGUGAGCGUCUGGAAAGAUUUAUCGGUCUGGGAUGGACUCGCGGCCUAUCAGCUUGUUGGUGGGGUAAUGGCCCACCAAGGCGACGACGGGUAGCCGGCCUGAGAGGGCGACCGGCCACACUGGGACUGAGAUACGGCCCAGACUCCUACGGGAGGCAGCAGUGGGGAAUAUUGCACAAUGGGCGCAAGCUGAAUGCAGCGACGCCGCGUGGGGGAUGAAGGCCUUCGGGUUGUAAACCCUUUCAGCAGGGAAGAAGCGAAAGUGACGGUACCUGCAGAAGAAGCGCCGGCUAACUACGUGCCAGCAGCCGCGGUAAUACGUAGGGCGCAAGCGUUGUCCGGAAUUAUUGGGCGUAAAGAGCUCGUAGGCGGUUUGUCGCGUCUGCUGUGAAAACCCGAGGCUCAACCUCGGGCUUGCAGUGGGUACGGGCAGACUAGAGUGCGGUAGGGGUGACUGGAAUUCCUGGUGUAGCGGUGGAAUGCGCAGAUAUCAGGAGGAACACCGAUGGCGAAGGCAGGUCACUGGGCCGCAACUGACGCUGAGGAGCGAAAGCAUGGGGAGCGAACAGGAUUAGAUACCCUGGUAGUCCAUGCCGUAAACGUUGGGCACUAGGUGUGGGGCUCAUUCCACGAGUUCCGUGCCGCAGCAAACGCAUUAAGUGCCCCGCCUGGGGAGUACGGCCGCAAGGCUAAAACUCAAAGGAAUUGACGGGGGCCCGCACAAGCGGCGGAGCAUGCGGAUUAAUUCGAUGCAACGCGAAGAACCCUUACCAAGGCUUGACAUACACCGGAAAAGUGCAGAGAUGUGCUCCCCGCAAGGUCGGUGUACAGGUGGUGCAUGGUUGUCGUCAGCUCGUGUCGUGAGAUGUUGGGUUAAGUCCCGCAACGAGCGCAACCCUCGUCCUAUGUUGCCAGCACGUUAUGGUGGGGACUCAUAGGAGACUGCCGGGGUCAACUCGGAGGAAGGUGGGGAUGACGUCAAAUCAUCAUGCCCCUUAUGUCUUGGGCUUCACGCAUGCUACAAUGGCCGGUACAAAGGGCUGCGAUACCGCAAGGUGGAGCGAAUCCCAAAAAGCCGGUCUCAGUUCGGAUUGGGGUCUGCAACUCGACCCCAUGAAGUCGGAGUCGCUAGUAAUCGCAGAUCAGCAACGCUGCGGUGAAUACGUUCCCGGGCCUUGUACACACCG
This 1265-nucleotide ribosomal RNA is filed under the name Cellulomonadaceae str. WB17. RNAcentral describes it as "bacterial SSU rRNA". It matches the Rfam family "Bacterial small subunit ribosomal RNA", at positions 112 to 1392 of the family's 1533-position model. Lineage: Bacteria; Bacillati; Actinomycetota; Actinomycetes; Micrococcales; Cellulomonadaceae. The record is from RNAcentral.